UGGUUGCGGAGAAAACUACAGAAGAAAAAAACACGAUAAAAAAACAAUGGAGCAAAUACGAUUUGACAAACGACCUAACUUAAUAUAGCAAGUGACAAGAACUCCAGCUUGUCCUAUUUAUUUACGUUUCUUGUUGAUUUUCUCAGUAAACAAACAAAGAAAAGAAUUAAAAAAACUAUAAGCAAAGGACAUUACCAGGUUGAAAUUCUCG
RNAcentral lists this unclassified non-coding RNA (211 nucleotides) under Hevea brasiliensis (rubber tree). The record is from RNAcentral. Lineage: Eukaryota; Viridiplantae; Streptophyta; Magnoliopsida; Malpighiales; Euphorbiaceae.